GGAGCCUUGGCGCAAUGGUAGCGCGUUGGUUUUCGGUACGCUCGGUUCUCCUUCGGAGCAUCUCGGGUUAAGCUUGCAUCACCAAAGGUUGUGGGUUCGAGCCCCAUGGGCUUCG
Non-coding RNA from Dendryphion nanum, 115 nucleotides. NCBI's taxonomy places the organism in Eukaryota, Fungi, Ascomycota, Dothideomycetes, Pleosporales, Torulaceae. The record is from the annotation of a GenBank genome assembly.